Molecule: ribosomal RNA, 1283 nt
Filed under: Enterococcus hirae
Lineage: Bacteria; Bacillati; Bacillota; Bacilli; Lactobacillales; Enterococcaceae
Description: bacterial SSU rRNA
Rfam family: Bacterial small subunit ribosomal RNA
Source: RNAcentral
UAACCUGCCCAUCAGAAGGGGAUAACACUUGGAAACAGGUGCUAAUACCGUAUAACAAUCGAAACCGCAUGGUUUUGAUUUGAAAGGCGCUUUCGGGUGUCGCUGAUGGAUGGACCCGCGGUGCAUUAGCUAGUUGGUGAGGUAACGGCUCACCAAGGCGACGAUGCAUAGCCGACCUGAGAGGGUGAUCGGCCACAUUGGGACUGAGACACGGCCCAAACUCCUACGGGAGGCAGCAGUAGGGAAUCUUCGGCAAUGGACGAAAGUCUGACCGAGCAACGCCGCGUGAGUGAAGAAGGUUUUCGGAUCGUAAAACUCUGUUGUUAGAGAAGAACAAGGAUGAGAGUAACUGUUCAUCCCUUGACGGUAUCUAACCAGAAAGCCACGGCUAACUACGUGCCAGCAGCCGCGGUAAUACGUAGGUGGCAAGCGUUGUCCGGAUUUAUUGGGCGUAAAGCGAGCGCAGGCGGUUUCUUAAGUCUGAUGUGAAAGCCCCCGGCUCAACCGGGGAGGGUCAUUGGAAACUGGGAGACUUGAGUGCAGAAGAGGAGAGUGGAAUUCCAUGUGUAGCGGUGAAAUGCGUAGAUAUAUGGAGGAACACCAGUGGCGAAGGCGGCUCUCUGGUCUGUAACUGACGCUGAGGCUCGAAAGCGUGGGGAGCAAACAGGAUUAGAUACCCUGGUAGUCCACGCCGUAAACGAUGAGUGCUAAGUGUUGGAGGGUUUCCGCCCUUCAGUGCUGCAGCUAACGCAUUAAGCACUCCGCCUGGGGAGUACGACCGCAAGGUUGAAACUCAAAGGAAUUGACGGGGGCCCGCACAAGCGGUGGAGCAUGUGGUUUAAUUCGAAGCAACGCGAAGAACCUUACCAGGUCUUGACAUCCUUUGACCACUCUAGAGAUAGAGCUUCCCCUUCGGGGGCAAAGUGACAGGUGGUGCAUGGUUGUCGUCAGCUCGUGUCGUGAGAUGUUGGGUUAAGUCCCGCAACGAGCGCAACCCUUAUUGUUAGUUGCCAUCAUUUAGUUGGGCACUCUAGCAAGACUGCCGGUGACAAACCGGAGGAAGGUGGGGAUGACGUCAAAUCAUCAUGCCCCUUAUGACCUGGGCUACACACGUGCUACAAUGGGAAGUACAACGAGUCGCAAAGUCGCGAGGCUAAGCUAAUCUCUUAAAGCUUCUCUCAGUUCGGAUUGUAGGCUGCAACUCGCCUACAUGAAGCCGGAAUCGCUAGUAAUCGCGGAUCAGCACGCCGCGGUGAAUACGUUCCCGGGCCUUGUACACACCG